CAUGUGGGAAGGAUGAGAAGCUUCGACUAAGGUUCGAUUCGAGCGAAGCGAGAAAGCGUUGCCGCAGGCAACGACCCGAAGGGCGAGGCGCAGCGCGACGAGUACUCCUUCCCCCACCACCA
This 122-nucleotide small RNA is filed under the name Klebsiella grimontii. RNAcentral's name for it is "RtT RNA". It matches the Rfam family "RtT RNA", at positions 15 to 130 of the family's 130-position model. From Rfam's summary of the family: This family represents a bacterial cis-regulatory element known as RtT RNA. The record is from RNAcentral. Lineage: Bacteria; Pseudomonadati; Pseudomonadota; Gammaproteobacteria; Enterobacterales; Enterobacteriaceae.